Molecule: non-coding RNA, 85 nt
Organism: Hygrophoropsis aurantiaca
Lineage: Eukaryota; Fungi; Basidiomycota; Agaricomycetes; Boletales; Hygrophoropsidaceae
Source: the annotation of a GenBank genome assembly
GGUCUGAUGGCGUAGUUGGUUAUCGCAUCUGUCUAACAUCCAUUGUGCACACAGAAGGUCUCCCGUUCAAGUCGGGGUCAGAUCA